This is a long non-coding RNA of Gasterosteus aculeatus aculeatus (three-spined stickleback), 2229 nucleotides long. NCBI's taxonomy places the organism in Eukaryota, Metazoa, Chordata, Actinopteri, Perciformes, Gasterosteidae. The record is from Ensembl.
CAUACAAACCAGGUGUAAUCGGCGCAUUAGGACAGCCAGAAGAACAGAGACGGCUCCACUUUUCAACAGGUUUAUUGACAUGUGUAUAGAGAUUGUCUGUGCACCGGACGAUUACAGAAUAUGAUAUAAAAUAAUACAAAAUGACUGUACACAACGUAGAUGUAUUAAAAAGGAAUGCAUUAUUGACUGUGAGGUUUUGCGCUGUAUACGCGUCAGCUAUUCACCCACCCAGAGAAAGAUGAGUUAACUAGUUGAGGAGGUUGAGGUUUUGCCAUCUGGAGUGAAGCUCAAUUGAAACAUUUAAAGAAAAAAAAGUCAAAGAACAAAGCUAAAAAGACUGCUAAUGUUACUAGUGGUUUUAAAAACAACCCAAAAUACUGUAUCUGAAAAAUUCACCAAUAUUUAAAUCUAAAAAACAAGGGAGAGAAACUUGCAUAUGGACACCUGUAACCCGAAGAGGGUUGAAACAAAGCAAAAAGAGAAUAAAUAUGUCAGCUCGUAAACUAGAAGCCAUUGAGGGUGCUGCAGCCGUUCGUCCGUCCACAUGCCGAGCAGUGUGACGCUAAUUGUUCUAUGUCUUUUUAUUUGUCCUCCAGAAGCAGGUCGGACUGGAUUUGGCGUGCGGCUGAUCCAGAUGUUCUCACAGCCCGCUUGUGCCCCUUUAACUAAGUGCGGCUGAGCUGAGGCCACCCGACCGUCCGCGCUCCUUUAACAUUUGGCAUUUACAUCGGACGAGGCUCCCACGCAAACGUUUGUGUGUGUCUGCGGUUGUGAAGCGUUUUUUGAGUGUCUUCUAUGAGUCUGCAGCUGUGAAGCCUACAUCUGUAAUCCUGAGCCACGGUAAUUAUCAACACCACAGCGUGGGACUGGACGCAUCUAUCAAGUAUGAGGAUAAUUGUGUUUUACACGUAUGUUUGUUCUCUUUCUUUUUAGAGAGGUCUUCUAAAACUAAAAACAAAAACAGAACUGAAACGCCGCCGUUUCAGCGGCUGAGGGCUCGGAAGACGUCUUGGUCUGCGGCUCAACGCCCUCGGCGUGCAAAGUCUUUGAGUACGUGUACGAGUAGUGAACGUACCGGGUGUGUACGUUCAGCACAUGCAAGCUAGACACUGUUCCCAUGUGAGAUACCAAUUACACGUCUUCCACACUCGAGGCUACUAUUGAAACACCAUAAUAUUCAGUUACAAAAAUAGUAUCACAAUAUAGACCAUUCAAUAUGAGCACCGGGGAGGCUAAAUAUAGCCCGAGUAUUUGGCUACAUUCAUUGUCUGGGCAAUGUUUCACCGUAGCGGUGUGGUAAGUGUGUGUUUGUCGGACACAGUGUUCUGUCACUCACACGCCGUCCUACAUCGACCACGCCAAGAAUUCACAAACAUACGGAACUUGCUUACACUGAGUAACGGUCAACUACAACCGAUUAUCAGUUAGAAAAAUAGUUGUUGUUUUUUUAACACUGAACAUCUAAAGGAAAUCCUCCCGCUUCCCCAAAUAAAUCCCUCCCGCCCCCCUUUCCUAACAAAAUAGUUUUCUUUGAAACAACAACAAAAAGUUUAUCUUGUGAGGUUAUGCGACGUCAUUCUAACACGGACCCCGUUGAGCAUAAUUCAGCAACCAGAAGUGUGUCUGAGUAACAGCAGCGAUGCGAUUGGCUGAUGUGUUCUUCGGCAGCGCGAGCGUGUUCAGGUUAUUAAUGCGACUGAAAAGAGUAUUUAAAUGUCGGGGGGUUUCAUCGCCGAUUCAGCUGCUCAUCUUUUAAUUCUAGUGCUUUGGUUACAUGUCACACACACACACACACACACACACACAUCUGGAAAUAAAACAAAUGGUGACACUGAACAGGCCUCUGGUUGAGCCCUUAACCUGGAAACCAUUUGAGCCGAUGUAGCAACGUCGAGCUUAUCUGUGGAACUGCUAUUAUUGCUGCAGAGAGUUAUGAAGUGGAUCUCAUUCCGGGUUUUCGUGCCCCGGCCGGCGUUUAUCCUCCGGCCGCUUGAUGCUCAGGGUAAGAUUGGGCCUUUAGGGGGGGGAGGGAGGGGGGGUCUGUUUGACACAGCGCUCUCUCUACAUCACCAAGAGUCUGCAGGGUUUUUAUUCCAACCUUCGUACGACACAAGGGGCUGCGUGUGGGAACCCCUGAAUUCAGUGUGGACGCGCCACCAGCCGGGGCGCUCCGGGAGCGUCUUUAGAAACGCCCAGUGUGAAAAGUGACGGUGUUUUUGUUGUUGGUUG